This 408-nucleotide ribosomal RNA is filed under the name bacterium 2311-S3-10-2.1. Its description in RNAcentral is "bacterial SSU rRNA". It matches the Rfam family "Bacterial small subunit ribosomal RNA", at positions 58 to 512 of the family's 1533-position model. The record is from RNAcentral.
CAAGUCGAACGGUCUCUUCGGAGGCAGUGGCAGACGGGUGAGUAAUGCAUGGGAAUCUACCGUUCUCUACGGAAUAACUCAGGGAAACUUGUGCUAAUACCGUAUACGCCCGAAAGGGGAAAGAUUUAUCGGAGAAUGAUGAGCCCAUGUUGGAUUAGCUAGUUGGUAGGGUAAAGGCCUACCAAGGCGACGAUCCAUAGCUGGUCUGAGAGGAUGAUCAGCCACACUGGGACUGAGACACGGCCCAGACUCCUACGGGAGGCAGCAGUGGGGAAUAUUGGACAAUGGGCGCAAGCCUGAUCCAGCCAUGCCGCGUGAGUGAUGAAGGCCCUAGGGUUGUAAAGCUCUUUCACCGGUGAAGAUAAUGACGGUAACCGGAGAAGAAGCCCCGGCUAACUUCGUGCCAGC